This 467-nucleotide ribosomal RNA is filed under the name Penaeus duorarum (pink shrimp). Its description in RNAcentral is "partial 16S ribosomal RNA". It matches the Rfam family "Bacterial large subunit ribosomal RNA", at positions 1854 to 2570 of the family's 2925-position model. Lineage: Eukaryota; Metazoa; Arthropoda; Malacostraca; Decapoda; Penaeidae. The record is from RNAcentral.
GGCCUGCCCACUGAUUUAUUUUAAAGGGCCGCGGUAUACUGACCGUGCGAAGGUAGCAUAAUCAUUAGUCUUUUAAUUGAAGGCUUGUAUGAAUGGUUGGACAAAAAGCAAACUGUCUCAGUUGUAAUAAUUGAAUUUAACUUUUGAGUGAAAAGGCUUAAAUAAGUUAGGGGGACGAUAAGACCCUAUAAAGCUUGACAAUAAGCCGUUUAUAUUAUAAAUUGUUAGUAUAACUUGAUUUUAAAUGGUGUUUGUUGCGUUGGGGCGACGAGAAUAUAAAAGAUAACUGUUCUUAUAAUAUUUAAUAACAGAAAUAGCUGGAAAAUUAAUGAUCCUUUCUUUAAGAUCAUAAGAUUAAGUUACUUUAGGGAUAACAGCGUAAUCUUCCUUGAGAGUUCAUAUCGACAGGAAGGGUUGCGACCUCGAUGUUGAAUUAAGGUAUCCUUAUAAUGCAGCAGUUAUAAAGG